AUCACUUACAUUUAACUAUAAUAAGUAUAUAUAUAUAUGUAUGUGUGUGUGUGUGUGUGUGUGUGUGUGUAUAUAUAUAUAUAUACAUAUAAAACCACUACUGGAAUUC
This 109-nucleotide microRNA precursor is filed under the name Otolemur garnettii (small-eared galago). Its description in RNAcentral is "miRNA (ENSOGAG00000024408.1)". The record is from RNAcentral. Lineage: Eukaryota; Metazoa; Chordata; Mammalia; Primates; Galagidae.